AAAAGGGGAACAAGAAGGAAGGCUCACUUCCAUUUCUUCAGAGGAGUUCCAGUCUUCGCCUUCACUUUGGACCCAUCUCCUGCCUUCCAACACAGACUCUUCAGCUUCAGGGACUCACAUGGGACUACAUGAGCUCCAGGCCUUGUAUGUUUGAUUGGAUCCUUCAGAUUUCCAGCAUACAGACAGCCCUUUCGCACUCUGCAGGUGGCCAUGCAGGGAUCUGACAAUUAUAAACAUGCAGCUGUGACAACUCAGACCCUCAAGCAGAGCAGUGGGAAUGGAUCUGGGCUCUGCAGGAGUGGAGUGGACCUCCUGCAAACUUCCCAUCUCUCAGGUGCUUGCUGAGGUGAAGGAAGUUUGCCCUGGAAUGAAGGAAGUGAAGGAAACCAGAGCUGGGAGAUGGAGAGAGAGAAUCCUGAAGUUAUUAUUUGAACCACUGAGUCUAGCUGUGCUUGGAACUCUUCAAUGAGCUACUACAUUCCUUUGUUGCUUAAACCAAUUUGAGUUAUGUUUAAGAUACUUGCAAUUGAAAGGAAUCAUUAAGUAAUAAAACUGCCAUUUGU
Long non-coding RNA from Heterocephalus glaber (naked mole-rat), 563 nucleotides. RefSeq lists it as uncharacterized. The record is from RefSeq and is a predicted model, not a curated record. NCBI's taxonomy places the organism in Eukaryota, Metazoa, Chordata, Mammalia, Rodentia, Bathyergidae.